UAGUAUCGGUAACGUAGUGUUGGUGU
Molecule: non-coding RNA, 26 nt
Filed under: Bombyx mori (domestic silkworm)
Lineage: Eukaryota; Metazoa; Arthropoda; Insecta; Lepidoptera; Bombycidae
Source: RNAcentral